AAUUAUUUAGAUUAUGUUUACUCGUGCAACAGUACCGUGUUAGAUUUGUUUUAAUGAAACAAUAUGAAAACUGUUAGAUUAAUAUUGUAUGGUAUAAUAAAUUUGCAAAAAAAAAACAAGUUCAUUACUUUUUAUAUACUCGAAGGAGGAAACUUAUGCGAAAAAGCAGGCAAGUUAGUUGGUUCCUACGGUGAUAGUGUUCGUGGCGACGAUCGACGAUUAGGAGCAGAGUGGAGUCGCACAGUGGAGCAGUUUAGUUGGGAACGAAGCAGAA
This 274-nucleotide long non-coding RNA is filed under the name Polistes fuscatus (common paper wasp). Its description in RNAcentral is "uncharacterized LOC122519730". Lineage: Eukaryota; Metazoa; Arthropoda; Insecta; Hymenoptera; Vespidae. The record is from RNAcentral.